UAAUUGAAGAGUUUGAUCAUGGCUCAGAUUGAACGCUGGCGGCAGGCCUAACACAUGCAAGUCGAACGGUAACAGGGAGCAGCUUGCUGCUCUGCUGACGAGUGGCGGACGGGUGAGUAAUGUCUGGGAAACUGCCUGAUGGAGGGGGAUAACUACUGGAAACGGUAGCUAAUACCGCAUAACGUCUACGGACCAAAGUGGGGGACCUUCGGGCCUCAUGCCAUCAGAUGUGCCCAGAUGGGAUUAGCUAGUAGGUGGGGUAACGGCUCACCUAGGCGACGAUCCCUAGCUGGUCUGAGAGGAUGACCAGCCACACUGGAACUGAGACACGGUCCAGACUCCUACGGGAGGCAGCAGUGGGGAAUAUUGCACAAUGGGCGCAAGCCUGAUGCAGCCAUGCCGCGUGUAUGAAGAAGGCCUUCGGGUUGUAAAGUACUUUCAGCGGGGAGGAAGGUGUUGUGGUUAA
RNAcentral lists this ribosomal RNA (466 nucleotides) under Cronobacter sakazakii. RNAcentral describes it as "bacterial SSU rRNA". It matches the Rfam family "Bacterial small subunit ribosomal RNA", at positions 1 to 463 of the family's 1533-position model. Lineage: Bacteria; Pseudomonadati; Pseudomonadota; Gammaproteobacteria; Enterobacterales; Enterobacteriaceae. The record is from RNAcentral.